Molecule: ribosomal RNA, 429 nt
Filed under: Bacteroidota bacterium
Lineage: Bacteria; Pseudomonadati; Bacteroidota
Also listed under: 1 other name
Description: Bacteroidetes bacterium partial 16S ribosomal RNA
Rfam family: Bacterial small subunit ribosomal RNA
Source: RNAcentral
UAGGGAAUCUUCGGCAAUGGGGGGAACCCUGACCGAGCAACGCCGCGUGAGUGAAGAAGGUUUUCGGAUCGUAAAGCUCUGUUGUUAAGGAAGAACGAGUGUGAGAAUGGAAAGUUCAUGCUGUGACGGUACUUAACCAGAAAGGGACGGCUAACUACGUGCCAGCAGCCGCGGUAAUACGUAGGUCCCGAGCGUUGUCCGGAUUUAUUGGGCGUAAAGCGAGCGCAGGCGGUUAGAAAAGUCUGAAGUGAAAGGCAGUGGCUCAACCAUUGUAGGCUUUGGAAACUGUUUAACUUGAGUGCAGAAGGGGAGAGUGGAAUUCCAUGUGUAGCGGUGAAAUGCGUAGAUAUAUGGAGGAACACCGGUGGCGAAAGCGGCUCUCUGGUCUGUAACUGACGCUGAGGCUCGAAAGCGUGGGUAGCAAACAGG